This 468-nucleotide ribosomal RNA is filed under the name uncultured bacterium. RNAcentral's name for it is "partial 16S ribosomal RNA". It matches the Rfam family "Bacterial small subunit ribosomal RNA", at positions 28 to 507 of the family's 1533-position model. The record is from RNAcentral.
GACGAACGCUGGCGGCGUGCUUAACACAUGCAAGUCGAACGGAAAGGCCCUGCUUUUGUGGGGUGCUCGAGUGGCGAACGGGUGAGUAACACGUGAGUAACCUGCCCUUGACUUUGGGAUAACUUCAGGAAACUGGGGCUAAUACCGGAUAGGAGCUCCUGCUGCAUGGUGGGGGUUGGAAAGUUUCGGCGGUUGGGGAUGGACUCGCGGCUUAUCAGCUUGUUGGUGGGGUAGUGGCUUACCAAGGCUUUGACGGGUAGCCGGCCUGAGAGGGUGACCGGCCACAUUGGGACUGAGAUACGGACCAGACUCCUACGGGAGGCAGCAGUGGGGAAUAUUGCACAAUGGGCGGAAGCCUGAUGCAGCAACGCCGCGUGCGGGAUGACGGCCUUCGGGUUGUAAACCGCUGUCGCAUGUGACGAAGCGUGAGUGACGGUAAUGGGUAAAGAAGCAACGGCUAACUACGUG